CCCAAAUGAAAACUUGCAUACAUUUAAUUAUGUAUUUUUUUAUUCAGGUGUAAAUCUAGAAACUGCUUGUAAAAUCUGUAUUACUCUUGUCUGCUGCCUUUGCAAACCCUCCCUUUCUAACCCCACCCAGACUUUCUGUUGCUGUCCAAUCACAGACUUCCCAACGCAGCUCAAUGAGAAAUCUUUGCAAGGCAGGUGCUCUGGGCAAUUGCUGCCUCUUGUAAACAACCAGGAAGUAACAG
Pelobates cultripes (western spadefoot toad) is the source of this 242-nucleotide non-coding RNA. The record is from the annotation of a GenBank genome assembly. Lineage: Eukaryota; Metazoa; Chordata; Amphibia; Anura; Pelobatidae.